RNAcentral lists this ribosomal RNA (497 nucleotides) under uncultured bacterium. RNAcentral's name for it is "partial 16S ribosomal RNA". It matches the Rfam family "Bacterial small subunit ribosomal RNA", at positions 28 to 507 of the family's 1533-position model. The record is from RNAcentral.
GAUGAACGCUGGCGGCGUGCCUAAUACAUGCAAGUCGAGCGAACAGACGAUGAUCUUGCUCCUCUCACGUUAGCCGCGGACGUGUGAGUAACACGUGUAUAACCUACCUAUCUGUCUGAGAUCACUUCGGGAAACCGGAUCUUAUACCGGAGAAUAUAUUGAACCACGGGGUUCAAUAGUGAAAUACGGUUUUGCUGUCACUUAUAGAUGGUUCCCGGCUGCAUUGGCUAGUUGGUACGGUAACGGGUUUCCAAGGCUACGAUGCGUAGCCGAGGUGAGAGAGGGAUCGGCGACCCGGGAAGGGGAACAGGGUCCAGAGGACUGCGGGAGGCAGCAGUAGGGAAUCUGCCGCAAUGGGGGAGAGCAUGACGGAGCAGCGCCGCGUGAGAGAUAAAGGUCUUCGGAUCGUAAAACUCUGUUAUUAGGGAAGAACAAAUGUGUAAGUAACUAUGCACGUCUUGACGGUACCUAAUCAGAAAGCCACGGCUAACUACGUG